This 1042-nucleotide long non-coding RNA is filed under the name Gossypium barbadense (sea-island cotton). Its description in RNAcentral is "long non-coding RNA (GBAR_LNC019802)". The record is from RNAcentral. Lineage: Eukaryota; Viridiplantae; Streptophyta; Magnoliopsida; Malvales; Malvaceae.
AAAUUUCUUUCUUUUAUUCAUCUAUGUAAAAGGCUAUCUAUGAGUGUAACAGAAUCUCGUAUUGGCAUACAUUUACAUUUUGCCUAUGUAUGAACUACUAUCUAAGGCUACUACAAAGUUUCUUGUCAAAAUAUAAUGCAUGGUUAUCAUUUCGACUCAAUAAAAUAUCAAACUUUCCUACUUCUCUCUAAGUCUACUGUGUACAUCUUGGAGUACUACUUAUUUAUUUAGGCCCAGACUUUAGCUAUAAACAUAUUCAAUUUCUACUUAAAUGACUUAUGCGCACACUUUGACACGCCCUUUGAUUUCCUCUAUAUGCAUAACUGCCCAACGCGUUGCUCCCUUAGCGUAUCCCUGGCAUCGUCUCUCGGUGCAUUUUCCUUUAUAGACGUGAAAAUAGAAAAAAAUUUUGUAAGUCUGUAAGAAUUUAGUGAGCUAAACCUUAAUAUAUUUUUUUUCAUUCAUUCUACAUUGCAUUUUUUUUGCGCAUCAUUGGGGUGUUUCUUGACCUUACUACCUUUUUUGGCGAGUACAAUACUGAGGCUACCAUCUUUCUUUCUUCAGAACAAUUCUCCUUCUUUUAUGCGUAUUAUACUUAACAUCUCUUUACCUUUUGUAUCAUUUCUUAAAUCUUAUCUUUACAUAUCCUUAACUUCUUCAUUUACCUUAUUAUCAGACUUAAUAACUUAUUUCAUACUCACUAGUCUUAUCAUUAUUUAUAGGCGGGGUAGACUACACCCAAUACUUAUAUCAAAAUUUGCCCAUAUCUUCCUUACUUUAGUACACUCUCUAUUUUUACUCAUAACUCAUAUUUUUGCCUCGCCACAUACUAUAGCACACACUAGCCUUUCUAUUCCUCCAUUGUAACUAUACGAGGUUCGUCAUUCAUUCAGUAUCCACCUAAAGGCGUUAUAUUCAGAUGGUCAUCAUGAGACCCAUUCUUCAUAUUCCACCACGAAGGCGUUCCUUUAACAGAGAUGGCCACAAAAACAUCCUUUUAACAGAGGUAGCCACAAAGGCAUCCUUUUAACUGAGAUCGCCA